Long non-coding RNA from Cavia porcellus (domestic guinea pig), 730 nucleotides. RefSeq lists it as uncharacterized. The transcript is spliced from 3 exons. The record is from RefSeq and is a predicted model, not a curated record. Lineage: Eukaryota; Metazoa; Chordata; Mammalia; Rodentia; Caviidae.
CCUUUCUCAACCAGCAGCACACUCUGUAAACAACAGUGGAGUACAGGAAGAGGAAACCCCUAGCAUAGAAUUUGACACAAAUCAGGCAUCCAGCAAAUGGGAGCAGAGUAAAUGUCAUCCUCAAAGACACCUUUCAGCAUGGAAUCGUGAUAUACCAUUUAACAGCGUGUGCCUGACAAAAAAUCGAAAGAGAAAGCAGGAAAAUCCCUGUAUAUGGAAACAAGCUGAAGAAAAGAAAAGGAACAAAUGUUGAAACUUAUCUCUCAAGCCCUAAAUUUUUUUGUUCAUUUCCGGAUUUGCUUCCUCUUAGAAAAGCUACUCCCUAUUGACUCAGAGAAGUGCUUUCCACAGGGCUCAGGGCAUGCACUUUGCUUAUAUGUGGUCUGGUUAAUAAGGGCUUCCUCUGUGAGGAGGAUCAGAGCAACUGACCUCAUACUUGCAAAUAAACUUCUUAAUGUCCCCCCAAAUAAACAUCACUUGGUGUUUUAAGUACAUAAAAGAAAUUGUGGGUGAUUACAAUGCAUAAAAAUGAAAGAAGAGCAAAUGCUGAAAUGGUACAGCAAUGUGACUUCUGGCAAACCCUACUUCUAUGGAUCUCAUUUUUCUCAUCUGUAAGAAAAGAGGGAUAGCCCCCAGUGGUUCUUGCCUCUGGAUAUUCCUGAAUGUGUGUAGUUCCUUCCAACAUUAAAUAUGACUGACUAGAAUAAUAAAUAGUAUAUAAACAAAACAA